CACGCCGUAANCGAUGAGUGCUAGGUGUUAGGCCCUUUCCGGGGCUUAGUGCCGCAGCUAACGCAUUAAGCACUCCGCCUGGGGAGUACGACCGCAAGGUUGAAACUCAAAGGAAUUGACGGGGGCCCGCACAAGCGGUGGAGCAUGUGGUUUAAUUCGAAGCAACGCGAAGAACCUUACCAGGUCUUGACAUCCCGAUGCCCGCUCUAGAGAUAGAGUUUUACUUCGGUACAUCGGUGACAGGUGGUGCAUGGUUGUCGUCAGCUCGUGUCGUGAGAUGUUGGGUUAAGUCCCGCAACGAGCGCAACCCUUAUUGUUAGUUGCCAUCAUUCAGUUGGGCACUCUAGCGAGACUGCCGGUAAUAAACCGGAGGAAGGUGGGGAUGACGUCAAAUCAUCAUGCCCCUUAUGACCUGGGCUACACACGUGCUACAAUGGCUGGUACAACGAGUCGCAAGUCGGUGACGGCAAGCUAAUCUCUUAAAGCCAGUCUCAGUUCGGAUUGUAGGCUGCAACUCGCCUACAUGAAGUCGGAAUCGCUAGUAAUCGCGGAUCAGCACGCCGCGGUGAAUACGUUCCCGGGCCUUGUACACACCGCCCGUCACACCACGAGAGUUUGUAACACC
RNAcentral lists this ribosomal RNA (625 nucleotides) under uncultured bacterium. RNAcentral's name for it is "bacterial SSU rRNA". It matches the Rfam family "Bacterial small subunit ribosomal RNA", at positions 796 to 1421 of the family's 1533-position model. The record is from RNAcentral.